GCAGAUAUGGUGCAUCGGUAACACGCUAGCUUCCCAAGCUGGAGAGGCGGGUUCGACUCCCGUUAUCUGCU
RNAcentral lists this transfer RNA (71 nucleotides) under Eubacteriales bacterium. Its description in RNAcentral is "tRNA-Gly". It matches the Rfam family "tRNA". Rfam says of the family: Transfer RNA (tRNA) molecules are approximately 80 nucleotides in length. The record is from RNAcentral. Lineage: Bacteria; Bacillati; Bacillota; Clostridia; Eubacteriales.